UCUGCUGACCUUUUUAUUAUG
This 21-nucleotide non-coding RNA is filed under the name Caenorhabditis elegans. Lineage: Eukaryota; Metazoa; Nematoda; Chromadorea; Rhabditida; Rhabditidae. The record is from RNAcentral.